CGCUGCAUGUAUGACAAAAAUGUUUCCAUGCUUUCAGCUCUUCCAAGUUGGGGUAACGCGAAUUUUUAAAGUCGUUGAGUUGAAGGGCGCUUUCUUCUUCAGUUGAUAGCUCUUGCAGGUGUGGUGGGAAACCAAUCUCAUUGGCCUCCCCACCACCGUUAGCAUUCGUCCUCCCCAGCCUCGGUCCUCUGAACACUAUGGCAAUGGUGGGCUCAGCUUCCACAAUUCUCUUCCCCUUUUAUCCUCUUCAGAUCUCCCUAUGCAUGUGUUGCAGCAACAGGGCUUGGAAAUUGAAGACCAAUUGGUCCCCUCUUCUAGGAAUGGACAAGGAAAAGGGUCACAUUGCUUGUUUCUCAUCCAAGAAGAAACUUGGCUUCAUGGACCAAAUUCUUGAUUACAUUGAAGGUGGUCCAAAGUUGAGGAGAUGGUAUGGAGCUCCUGAUCUCCUUCCAAAAGAUGGAUCCACUGAAAAAUUAGAUGAAAUUACAGAGGAGGAAGAAGUCAGGGAUGCAGUUUUAGUAACAGAUGGAGAUAGUGAGAUUGGCCAGAUGGUGAUAUUGUCGCUGAUUGUCAAACGAAUUCGAGUUAAAGCACUAGUGAAGGAUAAGCGGGCUGCUAUGGAAGCCUUUGGCACUUAUGUUGAGUCAAUUGCUGGUGCUUCAAAUGAUAGCACAUCCGUGAAGAAGGCUCUCAGGGGUGUUCGUGCAGUUAUAUGUGCAAAUGAUGGUUUUGUAUCUAAUAUUGAGGGCUGGAAAGGAUUGGAGCAUGUGAUCCUAUUAUCUCAGUUGUCUGUUUAUAGAGGCAAUAGUGGGAUUCAAGCAAUGAUGAAUAGCAAUGCAAGAAGACUUGCAGAGCAAGAUGAAUCUGCACUAAUGGCAUCAAGAGUGCCCUACACCAUUAUCAGAGCUGGUUUGCUGAAGAACACACCCGGAAGGCAGCGUUUCAGCUUUGAAAAGGGUUGUGCAACGCAAGGAAGCCUUAGCAAGGAGGAUGCUGCCUUCAUCUGUGCAGAAGCUCUUGAUGCAGUCCCAGGGAAAGGAUUCAUAUUUGAGAACUGAGGCUAGGAGCUUUAAGGAAAGAGUAACUAGCGCGUGGUUAGUAAGGGUAUGCUACGUGAUGCUUCAACCUACAUCCAGCAAAAAGAAUCCAUUUAGAGUCUGUAGCAUCAUCUAUCCAAUACCUAUCUGUUUCAAGGGAACCGGAGAACAGGACUGAUAUAUGAGGUGGUUAAUGGUGAAGAGGCUGUCUCAGAUUGGAAAAAGCGCUUUGCUGCAUUGAUGGAGAAAUCAGGGUAGUAGCUUUCUUCUUAGAUUUGUCCAUCAAGAUGUUUGGUGAGACUUCCUCUUCAUCGUGGUAAGCAACAGGUGUUUAGCCAUACAAUGAGCAAAUACAGGCAUCAGGAAAGUUAUUGCUACUACAAGAUCACGAUUUCCAUUUAUUGCUAAAGCUUCUCGUUGUGGAUUUAAAACUCUUGCAAACUUCUGUGGUCCAGGGAGUUCUUUAGAUUUUGCUGGCGUUCUGCUUAUGCACGCCUUCUUUCCGCGACUGAAACAUACAUUAUGAAGAAGAAAUACACAAGCACAUAUACAGGCUUCAGUGGAACUGA
RNA transcript from Coffea arabica (coffee), 1606 nucleotides. RefSeq lists it as uncharacterized. The record is from RefSeq and is a predicted model, not a curated record. Lineage: Eukaryota; Viridiplantae; Streptophyta; Magnoliopsida; Gentianales; Rubiaceae.